This 545-nucleotide ribosomal RNA is filed under the name uncultured Nitrososphaerota archaeon. RNAcentral's name for it is "uncultured thaumarchaeote partial 16S ribosomal RNA". The record is from RNAcentral. Lineage: Archaea; Thermoproteati; Nitrososphaerota.
UACAACGCACUACCUGUUCAUAGUAGACGUUGCUGUCAACAGCACACUGCCCACCAUCAACGCAGGGGACUACACCUUCAACACAGACUGGUCGUGAACGUCCUUCGGUUUUUUCUCGGUGUGCCCACCUCCAAUAAUUACUGGGGACGCAUUAUAGUACAUGUCAUUCCAAGCUGUUCCUGUAAUCUCAAGCAAUCAUACCCCACUCACAACUAUCUACACAUCCGUGACAAUCACUGCACGCUACCGACCUAGUUCCCACUACAACUUCUGGCAGACAAGACGCAACAAGGCCACUGCCUUGCUGAUUGGCGCUAGGCUGGUUCGCCUAUGCUUCCCGCGGUUCUACAUGGUCAAGCUGUUGCCUGUAAGGGACCCGCUCGAGGUGGCCUUCAAGUAUACGUGACCUACGCUGCCCGCGUGCAUGACGCCAAAAGUGCCUCAGGUAGGGAAGUUCUACAACGCGCCUGUCGCCCUGGAUUCAGGUGCCGGUGCAGUGCUAACGGUACCCAUCGCGGCGGUGGGUGGAAAACUAAACACGAGGA